RNAcentral lists this ribosomal RNA (624 nucleotides) under uncultured bacterium. RNAcentral describes it as "bacterial SSU rRNA". It matches the Rfam family "Bacterial small subunit ribosomal RNA", at positions 8 to 610 of the family's 1533-position model. The record is from RNAcentral.
AGAGUUUGAUCAUGGCUCAGAAUCAACGCUGGCGGCGUGCCUCAGACAUGCAAGUCGAACGCGAAAGUCCCCUUCGGGGGGCAAGUAGAGUGGCGCACGGGUGAGUAACACGUAGGUAAUCUACCUUUGGAUGGGGAAUAACAACCGGAAACGGUUGCUAAUACCGCAUAAUGCAGCGGCACCUAAUGGUGACAGUUGUUAAAGCGGGGGAUCGAAAGACCUCGCGUCUAAAGAGGAGCCUGCGGCGGAUUAGCUAGUUGGUAAGGUAACGGCUUACCAAGGCAACGAUCCGUAGCCGGCCUGAGAGGGCGGUCGGCCACACUGACACUGACAUACGGGUCAGACUCCUACGGGAGGCAGCAGUCGGGAAUUUUGGGCAAUGGGCGAAAGCCUGACCCAGCAACGCCGCGUGAAGGAUGAAAUCCCUCGGGAUGUAAACUUCGCAAGAACGGGAAGAAUAAGUAGGGGACAAUACCCCCUAUGAUGACGGUACCGUUUGUAAGCUCCGGCUAACUCCGUGCCAGCAGCCGCGGUAAUACGGGGGGAGCAAGCGUUGUUCGGAUUUACUGGGCGUAAAGGGCGCGUAGGCGGCCAGCACAAGUCAGUUGUGAAAUCUCCGAGCUU